CUACUCCCUCCUUCCCAUAUAUAAGAGUGUUUUUAAUACUACACUAGUGUGAAAAACAUUCUUAUAUUAUGGGACGGAGGAGUU
Molecule: microRNA precursor, 84 nt
Filed under: Hordeum vulgare
Lineage: Eukaryota; Viridiplantae; Streptophyta; Magnoliopsida; Poales; Poaceae
Description: miR1120 stem-loop (hvu-MIR1120)
Source: miRBase by way of RNAcentral